GAUGAAGAACGCAGCGAAAUGCGAUAAGUAAUGCGAAUUGCAGAAUUUCCGUGAGUCAUCGAAUCUUUGAACGCACAUUGCGCCCACUGGUAUUCCGGUGGGCAUGCCUGUUCGAGCGUCAUUAACCUCCCUCAAACCCCGGGUUUGGUGUUGGACCCAAGUUGUGUGAACAACUGGUCUCAAAGACAAUGACGGCGUCCGUGGGACCCUCGGUGCAACGAGCUUUUAGGAGCACGCAUCGAGUUGCAAGGACCUUCCGGGCCGGUCUCCUUUACCAUUUUACAAGGUUGACCUCGGAUCAGGUAGGAAUACCCGCUGAACUUAAGCAUAUCAAUAAGCGGAGGA
RNAcentral lists this unclassified non-coding RNA (345 nucleotides) under soil metagenome. RNAcentral's name for it is "partial contains 5.8S ribosomal RNA, internal transcribed spacer 2, and large subunit ribosomal RNA". The stretch from base 1 to 121 matches the Rfam family "5.8S ribosomal RNA", at positions 35 to 154 of the family's 154-position model. The record is from RNAcentral.